This 433-nucleotide ribosomal RNA is filed under the name uncultured bacterium. RNAcentral's name for it is "partial 16S ribosomal RNA". It matches the Rfam family "Bacterial small subunit ribosomal RNA", at positions 29 to 507 of the family's 1533-position model. The record is from RNAcentral.
AACGAACGCUGGCGGCAUGCCUAACACAUGCAAGUCGAACGAGACCUUCGGGUCUAGUGGCGCACGGGUGCGUACCGCGUGGGAACCUGCCCUUAGGUUCGGAAUAACUCCCCGAGAGGGGUGCUAAUACCGGCUAAUGUCUUCGGCCCAAAGGUUUAUCGCCAUUGGAUGGGCCCGCGUUGGAUUAGCCAGUUGGUAGGGUAAAAGCCUACCAAGGCGACGAUCGAUAGCUGGUCUGAGAGGAUGAUCAGCCACACUGGGACUGGGACACGGCCCAGACUCCUACGGGAGGCAGCAGUGGGGGAUAUUGGACUAUGGGCGGAAGCCUGAUCCAGCAAUGCCGCGUGAGUGAUGAAGGCCUUAGGGUUGUAAAGCUCUUUUACCCGGGAUGAUAAUGACGGUACCGGGAGAAUAAGCUCCGGCUAACUCCGUG